AGAACGAACGCUGGCGGCAGGCCUCAAACAUGCAAGUCUAGGGGGUGUAGCAAUACAUCACCGGCGGACGGGUGCGUAACGCGUGGGAAUGUACCUAUUGGUUCGGAACAACUGAGGGAAACUUCAGCUAAUACCGGAUGAGCCCGAAAGGGGAAAGAUUUCUCGCCAAUAGAUCAGCCCGCGUCCGAUUAGCUAGUUGGUGGGGUUAAAGCCUACCAAGGCGACGAUCGGUAGCUGUUCUGAGAGGAAGAUCAGCCACACUGGGACUGAGACACGGCCCAGACUCCUACGGGAGGCAGCAGUUGGGAAUCUUGGACAAUGGGGGAAACCCUGAUCCAGCCAUGCCGCGUGAGUGAUGAAGGCCUUGGGUUGUAAAACUCUUUCGACGGGACGAUAAUGACGGUACCCGUAGAAGAAGCUCCGGCUAACUUCGUGCCAGCAGCCGC
RNAcentral lists this ribosomal RNA (446 nucleotides) under uncultured bacterium. Its description in RNAcentral is "SSU rRNA". It matches the Rfam family "Bacterial small subunit ribosomal RNA", at positions 26 to 518 of the family's 1533-position model. The record is from RNAcentral.